Molecule: ribosomal RNA, 484 nt
Filed under: uncultured bacterium
Lineage: Bacteria
Description: partial 16S ribosomal RNA
Rfam family: Bacterial small subunit ribosomal RNA
Source: RNAcentral
AUUGAACGCUGGCGGCAGGCCUAACACAUGCAAGUCGAGCGGAUGAACGGUGCUUUCUCCUGGUUUCAGCGGCGGACGGGUGUGUAAUGCCUAUGAAUCUGCCUGGUUUUUGUUUAUUACGUCUUCUAACGGCCGCUACUACCGCAUACGUCCUGCUGUUGCAAGUGGGGGUUCUUCGGACCUCUCGCUCUCAUAUGAGCCUAGGUCGGAUUAGCUAGUUGGUGGGGUAAAGUCCUACCAAGGCGACGAUCCGUAACUGGUCUGAGAGGAUGAUCAGUCACACGGGAACUGAGACACGGACCAGAGUCCUACGGGAGGCAGCAGUGGGGAAUAUGGGACAAUGGGCGAAAGCCUGAUACAGCAAGGCGGGGUGUGUGAAGAAGGAGUUCGGAUUGGAAAGCAAGUUAAGUGGGGAGGAAGGGAAGUAAGUUAAUACAAAGCGGGAUUGACGGUAACAAAAGAAUAAGCACCGGCUAACUACGUG